UCGUCUAAACAUUUCUUUUUUUUUGUGUUGGUGUGUGCGUUCCCGAGUGGAGGAGAGGGAGAGCGGGUACUUCAGCGGCGGCGGCGGUGGCGGGUGCGGCCGGCGAAAGCCGCUCGAGGUCGCGGUGUGUCGUGCGGGGGCUCGGGGGGGUUCGAGGCGCGGAGGGAGGGGAGGCAGGUCUAAGAGGCGAGGGCCGGAGAUGACGGGCGAGCGUUGGUGUGGGGGCACCGAUCCCAAAGCCCGUCACGAAGCGGCCGGGCAGAGGCCGCCGGGGUCUACGUCUACCUCGUGCGGUACCCUAAAGGGGUAGGUGGUGCGAGCGACGGCAGUUCCCGUCCUUCCUUGGGAUCGGUCGUCGUGGAGGAGUGGAGCCUACUACGGAGACGACGUGGUUCUAUCCCAAAACAAGCUAGGAUGUGAAUUUCUUUUAGUAUGACUUCUAGACUCGAAUUCACAAGGUUGUCGACUUCGUGGUCGAGUUCUACUUCCCUUAGAGAAUUAUACUAACAUCUAGGUAAGGGCAUUUCACGUCAAUCUUAUACCUUAGGUGGAGCUUGAGCCAAAUUUUUUGUCUUUCGUAUACCUUAAAACGAGAUAGUCCAUCGUUAAACCAACAAGUUAGGUAGGUAUCAAUGUAAACUUCUAUAUAACAACUUAAAGGAAUAAAACACUUAUGUUCAGACUUGAAAAUCCUGUAGACCGUGUACUCAAACUUGGUAGGUUAAUAUCACGAUGAUUAAAACCCAGUGAUGUAGUACGUUAUGAUACCUACGACAAAUUGUACCGUUUCAACCUAAAAAAAAAUAAGAAAAAAGUCUAAUCUUAGUGAAAUCGUUACGGUAUAUCUAUUAUGUUCUACACCGUUUCACAACGUAAGUUAUCUCUAAUGUUACUAUUUAACCACUUUAAUCAAACGAGAGACUAGAGACAAUCGAAAUUGAGCGAUCCUUCGGUACAUCAGGAUAAAAAUCAUGAUCCUCCUCUUGCAUAUAAUUUAUAUACGGUAGGUCCUUUAACUAGAGACAACACGACCCCGUUUGAUUCGGUCUCGUUCGUGAAUGAGUUCCGUUCCUCGUCACGAGCAUGAACGAGUACCAACUCCAUCUAAGUCCAAUUUAAAAUACACAACUAAGGGAAGAGAAAGUGUACAGAUCCAGAAACACGGACUAGUUCGACAAGAAACUGUUCAUAAUAGAAACUCACUACGGUACAACCAUUAUUUUAUGAUAUAUUGAGUGUAAAGAAUAUACAAGGAAAAAGUAAAAACAGGAAAGUAAACUUUCGAGUAUACCAGUUAAAACCUCCGCUGAUGUACAUAUAUGACGACUACAAUGUACAUUUGUUUAAGCUACAAAAAUACGUAUACUGGCACGUGUAGUGGCUUGGGAAAGGUAAGAUAACGUUCCAGUUUAUCAAAAAGCACAAGAUUGAGAAACCCUAUCAGACGUCAAUAAACCAAGUAGCAGCGCGGAGUUCAAAGGUUGUCGCGGCACCGACAUGUGGCAGCUGAAGCGGCCUUUAGGAAGACGUGUAUGAGAUGACAGGCGGCUUUGAAACAGACUGGACUCAAUAAACCGAGUAGAAGUGCGGAGUUCAAAGGCUGUCGCAGCACCGACAUGUGGCGGCUGAAGCGGCCUUUAGACAGACGUAUAUGAGAUGAUAGGCGGCUUUGAAGCAGACUGGACUCCAUGUAUGAUGUCACAGUAGCUAAACAUAGACAGUAGUUGAUGAAUGAAGAAUUCAGACAUAUCGUAGUUGAUAUGAUGAAUAAUUUUCCCUCUUUCUCUCCUAUACAAUCUCGAUCUACUUUGUUAUCAUGACACUUUCUCUCCUAAGACGAGAGAUACACUCAUAGAACCACGUACGAACAAAGAUUUAUUUUACGUCUCUAGUACUUACUUAAUUUUGUACGAGAGACUACAAAAGUCAAUUUCAUCAUAGUCAACAUAUGAACAUAUGUGGGGUAAACUUUUUAUCAUACAUAUACGAGGAACGUUUGAUGAUGCAUUUAGAUUUGCAAAAUGUAUUCUGACAGGCAGAUCUAUGUUAUUGAUUAAUCAUAAAAUUAUCGAUCUUAACGUACCGAACUAGCGAGACGAACCCAGAAGAGAAUACAGACUCACGUGGUACACGCCAAAUUUAUUCAGAAGAUUGACAAACCCGAUUAAACGCAAGACAAAACUAAACUCGACUACCCCUACUCUACACUGGGGCGACGACCCGCAGCGUUUACGGUGACGAGGUUACACACGGGGUCGAAGCCACUACAUGCCCGCUCCGUUGUGCUAAACCUCGUCACUGGGAGGAAGGUUCUUUAGUUCAAAAAAGCAAGUCUAAAAUCUCGAGCUCAAAGUCGAAUCAAGUUCCUAUCUUUUCGUAUCAGGAAUACCUAAGUUGUUCCUUCUGGUAAUCGGCGGUGGAAAAGUCUUAACCUACCACACCACGUGGAAGUAGGACGACAGGUUAAGGAAUCGAAUAAACGAAAUUGACAUGAUGUCAAUAUAUCGUCCUAUUCCUAGGUUAGAACACUACGGAGAGGUAAACGUGGUAGCAGUUUUCAACGUGUACUCAACUAAGUCUGAAAGUCUUAAGUAUCUUGUGGAUCUCAAUAAAAUAAAGGUGUUUAUAGUGGUACAAAACGAUAACUACAUUACGAUAUAAGGAACUGACUUUAGUUUGGGAAAUCAACGAUGACACCACGAAAAUAAUAACAAUAUAAGGUCUUUCAACGUCAAAUAAACGAGAUUUUGAUGAGGU
This 2757-nucleotide ribosomal RNA is filed under the name Triticum aestivum (bread wheat). RNAcentral describes it as "partial small subunit ribosomal RNA". The record is from RNAcentral. Lineage: Eukaryota; Viridiplantae; Streptophyta; Magnoliopsida; Poales; Poaceae.